This 3066-nucleotide long non-coding RNA is filed under the name Sus scrofa (pig). RNAcentral's name for it is "lncRNA (ENSSSCG00000062804.1)". The record is from RNAcentral. Lineage: Eukaryota; Metazoa; Chordata; Mammalia; Artiodactyla; Suidae.
CCUCGGGCCCGUAACUGCGGGCGAAGAAGGGCUGGCGACUACACUUCCCAGAGGUCCUCGCGCGUGGGUCCCACCCGGGCAGCCGCGGAGGACGCCGCGCUUUCACAGUCACCCCAGUAGGGACCGCUAUCUGGGCCGAAGGAGUCAGAGAGUGGACUCGAGUACCCCUGUGUCCGCUCAUUCCGGUGAUAAUCACUGAGCGCCUGCUCUGCGCCAGGAGCGUGUUGCCGGGGGGCGAGGGAGGGGAGGGCACAGCGGUAGAUCCGGCAGGAAAGAUCCUGCUUUGUGGGAGCGAGCGUACACUCCUGUGGACGAGGUCAAUAGCAAAAAUGUAAAUCCACCAACUAGAUAAUUUCAGGUGCUGCCUUCAGCUGUAGGAAUAAGACAGUGAAGGGAGUGGAGCAACGUUACCUCUUCUAUGCCGUCUUCACCCUUGAGUCGCUACCAAAGGUUGGGACCCUGCUUCCUCAGACCAUGUAUGCUACGACUAGGAUCCUUGAUGAACUGGUGGAUACCACAGGGGGGAAAACCCUCAGGGUCGAAGAUGAUUGCAAGCUUUAUCAAGAGGAUGGACAUUAAAAAAAACAAUGCUGCAGGAGUUCCUAUUGUGGCGCAGCAGAAACGAAUCCGACUAGGAAAUGUGAGCUUGCGGUUUCAAUCCCUGGCCUCACUCAGUGGCUUAAGAAUUGGGUAUCGCUGUGAGCUUUGGUGUAGGUCGCAGACAUGACCGGGAGCUCACAUUGCUGUGGCUGUGGCCUAGGCCGGCAGCUGUAGCUCUGAUUCGAACCCUGGCCUGGGAACCUCCAUAUGCCUCCAGUGGGGCCCUAAAAAGACAAAACACAAACAAAGGAGACAGUGCUUUCCACUACUGCCGAAUGAAUAUAAUGCUCUGGAAAUUCAGAAAGAAGACUGAGUGGUCUAAGGAAGCCUCGCUGAGGCAGGGACUCAGUAGAGUGAGACUUAAGGAAACAAGUGCAAGAACAGGAGGGAGAGAAGGAUUCCAGGCUGCAGGAACUGAGGAAUCCAAAGCCCCAAGGUGCCUACAGAUUGAUGUGUUUGAGAAACUGCUGCCAAAUAGAUGUAGUGAAACAUGGAGGAGUGGGUGGGGUAGAGGUAGGGCAGAUAGGCUGGGGUCUGAUGCACAGGGUUUUGGAGGCUGUCAUUAGGAGUAUGGGUUGUACACUGGGUUUGAUGGAAACCACUGGGUUAGCAGCAGCAAUGGAAUCGUUUACUACUAUGAGGGGAUAAAAUAAGCUUUCCCUUUUGUCCCAGAAUCUGUAAGAAGGACUCAGAGCUGAGAUUAAAUUCGUCUACAUUCAAAAGAGAGAAAAAAAUGUCAUUUUUCAGAGACCUAGAAGAAAUAAUUCUAAAAUUUCUGUGAAAAUGCAAAACACACGGGUUCCCUUCAGUGCUCAGUGGUGAAAAACCAGCCUGGUAUACGUGAGGACUCAGAUUCUAUUCCUGGCCUCAUUCACUGGGUUAAGGAUCCAGCGUUGCCAUGAGAUGUGGUGUAGUUUGCAGAAAAGGCUCUGAUGCAGAGUUGCUGUGGCUGUGGUAUAGGCUGGCAGCUACAGCAACCAUUCGACCCCUAGCCCGGGAACUUCCAUAUACCACAGGUACACUCUUACAAAAAAUUUAAAUUAAAAAAGGGGGAAAAAUGGUCUCCCCGUCCUUUUAUUCUAUAUCUAUAUGGUGUGAUGGAUGGUCCCUGGACUUAUAGUGAGAGUCUCUGCCUGAUGUCCGUGAGUCAAAGUAUGCUGGACACCUGGCACUUGUACAGUGCUCUACUCCAUUAGUUCUCAAUCAACCUGGAAGGAAAAAAGGAAACCAAAAACCAUCUGGGGUCAGACACCUCAGGUCUUACAAAGGGGGUCCGGGCGAUGAAUUUUCCCUGCUUCGAUCAACCGGUGCGCCAAAGCCGCCCCCCCCUUUCCGGGCGGCACCCCAAGCCAGGAUGGGAAAGGCGAGGCAGAAACCUUGAGGGGGGCAAGGCCGCCCCCUUGUGGCCAAUGCGAGGCUCUACCGCUAUCCCAAGAUGAAUGUCAGAAAGCAAAGCACUCUCCACGUCGUCGAGAGCACCCAGCAGAGGGGUAGCCUUUAGGAAGCCCCCAAGGCCUCCCCAAAGUAAGGGCAAAGGGGCAUCAGAUGAGAACAGGCCGAGCGGAAGGGGAGCAGCCUGACGUUUCCUCGUGUUCAUGGUAAGGGGAUGCAAAGGAAGACAAUGGGGCUUUAGCUCCCAGCGGAGGUGAGAGAUGGAUGCGCCUCACCGCGGCAGGAGCCUGUGAAUCACCUGGCUGGGAGAAGGCACGGGGGAGGGUGGAAGAGCGAGCAGACCCUCCAAGUCCGGGGGAAGUGGGGUCCCUGGAAAGAACUCACAAACCGACUUGCAUUUUGGCUGUGGGACUAAAUAGCUGUAAUGCUGGAUGAAAUAUUUCUGAAAUCGUUUAAAGUGAAUUGGCGGGUUAGAAAACUGGGAAGGCAUACAGAGGCCAAAAAGGAAUCAAAAUUGAUAAUGGAGAGUGGCGGAACACUGAAAGCGACUUUUCACCUGGACGUCAUUUGACAAGUGAGGCCGACCCGAGCUUCAUUUUUAAUGCUCCUGUGAUCCCAGGGGCCAGGUGAAGAAACCCAAAUCCCAUCCAUCGUAGGGGGUCUACGAGCGCUCCCUUGUGCACCCGAGGGAGCACACACUCACACCUUUCUCCAGCCUGCGAGCUGCACCUGGCGCCCUCGUGUGGACACCGGCUCUAACAGCCACUCAGGUUUUCCUCCUCUUCCUGGCUGAGCAGUCCCCGGCGGGGGCUGCCUUGGCCUUGGGCAAUAGGCUAGAUGGAUUUCCUCGCCCCGCGUUCAAGAGAUACCAAGAAGUGCCCUUCCAAGUGGGCUCUUUGUUUUUCAAAGGCUUUCAGAGCCCUGGGGCCAACCUACGCCAGGUCUCUCCAGUUAAAUGCUCAGCCUCCGCCCCAUCAUGUCAUGAUAGCCUUCUUUUGCAUGUAUUCUUGCACUUUUGUAUUUAUGAAUAUAUAACUUUUUUUCUUUAAUUUCCCAACUGGUAUUAUUUGAUUC